Molecule: ribosomal RNA, 858 nt
Filed under: Priestia megaterium
Lineage: Bacteria; Bacillati; Bacillota; Bacilli; Caryophanales; Bacillaceae
Description: Bacillus megaterium partial 16S ribosomal RNA
Rfam family: Bacterial small subunit ribosomal RNA
Source: RNAcentral
GGGUCAUUGGAAAACGGGUAACUUGAGUCCUAAAGGAAAAGCGCAUUUCCCCUUAGCGUAAAAUUUUUAGGAGAUGGGGAGCAACACCAUUGUAAGGCGGCUUUUUCUCUGUUAACGCCGCGGGGCGGUACAGCUCGGGAAGCAAACCGGAUCAAAUACCGUGCUUGUACAACCCCUAAAAAGUUGAAGCGUUACAAGUGAAAGGGUUUUUUCCCUUUUUUCGUGCAGGUUACCCCAUUUUCCAACUCCCCCUCGGGGGAGGGCCGGCGGAUUUCAACUCCAAAAAUUAAUUGAGGGGCCCCCCCCACUUGCGGUCCAACAUUUUUUUUUAUUGGAAGCAACGAGAAGAACUUUACCAGGUCUUGACAUCCUUUGACAACUCUAGAGAUAGAGCGUUCCCCUUCGGGGGACAGAGUGACAGGUGGAGCAUGGUUGUCGUCAGCUCGUGUCGUGAGAUGUUGGGUUAAGUCCCGCAACGAGCGCAACCCUUGAUCUUAGUUGCCAGCAUUUAGUUGGGCACUCUAAGGUGACUGCCGGUGACAAACCGGAGGAAGGUGGGGAUGACGUCAAAUCAUCAUGCCCCUUAUGACCUGGGCUACACACGUGCUACAAUGGAUGGUACAAAGGGCUGCAAGACCGCGAGGUCAAGCCAAUCCCAUAAAACCAUUCUCAGUUCGGAUUGUAGGCUGCAACUCGCCUACAUGAAGCUGGAAUCGCUAGUAAUCGCGGAUCAGCAUGCCGCGGUGAAUACGUUCCCGGGCCUUGUACACACCGCCCGUCACACCACGAGAGUUUGUAACACCCGAAGUCGGUGGAGUAACCGUAAAGGAGCUAAGCCGCCUAAAGGUGGAACAGAAG